UCCAUCUCUCAAAGGACCCAACACCACCUAAUCCUGUUCUACGGGGGACCUUCAAAAGCAAAACAACAACAACAACAAAAACCUCAUGAGGGAUACAUCGUAUCCAACCGUAACAGGGAAUAAGCCCCUAACCUGCCGGCAUGCUGUUCGCCCUGGGUAGAUUGGGUCAGGAGUGAGCUGAACUGGAGGACACCGACUUGGUGUUUUAGAGAACAGAGGGGUUUCUCGGUAUGGAAGAGAUCCACACUUGAGAUGAGCAGUGAAACCAAAAACCCUGUCCCACUGAAGCUGGCUUCUCCCUGAGUCGAAUCUGAAACAGACAGAAGGAAACAAGAGUAGCAUUGAGUAUUUUCUGCAGGUGUAGGAUCUGCUUUUCCCGGCCAAGUAUAAACAGCACAUUCUCUCCAGGCCCAUCAAGAAGGAGAGUGUGAUGCAGGAAACCUGCUCUCUGACUCACGGGGCUCGCAACUCCUUCUCCUAUGGCCAGCCCAGAAAGAAGCCUAUGGAGUUCCAUCUAGUAAAUACCUGGAGCCUAAAGACUAAAUGAAGAAUCACAGCACAGACCGGACCUUUCUCGACGUCUGCAACAGGCCUUCAUAACAAGCACAGCAGCGACAUUAGUCACUUGUAUCAAGAACAGGGACACUGGCAAUGACGGUAGAUGACAUUCCACAUUGACUGCUGUGCUGGGGGCCACCACCGCAAGCUGCUUAAGACAGCAUCAAAACCAAAAUGACGCUUUCUGCAGGAAGCUUGGGAAGGGGUCGGGCACGAGUCUGUGUUGAGGUAGGUUCUUUUCCUGUGCCCAGGCUGAAUUCCCACUCCUCCCAUCUCAGGCUUCCCUGUAGCACCACCAUGCCUAACAAAAUUGUGGUUUUGAGAGUUUGAGGUGAGGGCUAAACGAGGAUUUUUUUUUAAUCUUUUGUGGGGUACAGGGGGUGGGGCCUGGGAUGUAGGACAAACUAGGUAAGUGUUCUACUUAACCAAAUUCCACCCCAUCCGUCAUUUAGUCCGGAAAGAAUAAACAAGGGGGAUGAA
This is a long non-coding RNA of Meriones unguiculatus (Mongolian gerbil), 1038 nucleotides long. RefSeq lists it as uncharacterized. The transcript has 3 exons. NCBI's taxonomy places the organism in Eukaryota, Metazoa, Chordata, Mammalia, Rodentia, Muridae. The record is from RefSeq and is a predicted model, not a curated record.